GAUGAACGCUGGCGGCGUGCCUAAUACAUGCAAGUCGAGCGAACGGACGAGAAGCUUGCUUCUCUGAUGUUAGCGGCGGACGGGUUAGUAACAUGUGGAUAACCUACCUAUAAGACUGGGAUAACUUCGGGAAACCGUAUCUAAGACCGGAUAAUAUUUUGAACCGCAUGGUUCAAAAGUGAAAGACGGGCUUGCUGUCACUUAUAGAUGGAUCCGCGCUGCAUUAGCUAGUUGUUAAGGUAACGGCUUACCAAGGCAACGAUGCAUACCCGACCUGAGAGGGUGGUCGGCCACACUGGAUCUGAGACACGGUCCAGACUCCGACGGGAGGCAGCAGUAGGGACUCUUACGCAAUGGGCGAGAGCCUGACGGAGCAACGCCGCGUGAGUGAUGAAGGUCUUCGGAUCGUAAAGCUCUGUUAUUAGGGAAGAACAUAUGUGUAAGUAACUGUGCACAUCUUGACGGUACCUAAUCAGAAAGCCACGGCUAACUACGUG
RNAcentral lists this ribosomal RNA (497 nucleotides) under uncultured bacterium. RNAcentral's name for it is "partial 16S ribosomal RNA". It matches the Rfam family "Bacterial small subunit ribosomal RNA", at positions 28 to 507 of the family's 1533-position model. The record is from RNAcentral.